GACGAACGCUGGCGGCGUGCCUAAUACAUGCAAGUAGAACGCUGAAGGAGGAGCUUGCUUCUCCGGAUGAGUUGCGAACGGGUGAGUAACGCGUAGGUAACCUGCCUGGUAGCGGGGGAUAACUAUUGGAAACGAUAGCUAAUACCGCAUAAGAGUAGAUGUCGCAUGACAUUUGCUUAAAAGGUGCAACUGCACCACUACCAGAUGGACCUGCGUUGUAUUAGCUAGUUGGUGAGGUAACGGCUCACCAAGGCAACGAUACAUAGCCGACCUGAGAGGGGGAUCGGCCACACUGGGACUGAGACACGGCCCAGACUCCUACGGGAGGCAGCAGUAGGGAAUCUUCGGCAAUGGACGGAAGUCUGACCGAGCAACGCCGCGUGAGUGAAGAAGGUUUUCGGAUCGUAAAGCUCUGUUGUAAGAGAAGAACGAGUGUGGGAGUGGAAAGUUCACACUGUGACGGUAUCUUACCAGAAAGGGACGGCUAACUACGUG
RNAcentral lists this ribosomal RNA (495 nucleotides) under uncultured bacterium. RNAcentral describes it as "partial 16S ribosomal RNA". It matches the Rfam family "Bacterial small subunit ribosomal RNA", at positions 28 to 507 of the family's 1533-position model. The record is from RNAcentral.